RNAcentral lists this ribosomal RNA (484 nucleotides) under uncultured bacterium. Its description in RNAcentral is "partial 16S ribosomal RNA". It matches the Rfam family "Bacterial small subunit ribosomal RNA", at positions 28 to 523 of the family's 1533-position model. The record is from RNAcentral.
GACGAACGCUGGCGGCGUGCUUAACACAUGCAAGUCGAACGAUGAAGCUGGAGCUUGCUCCGGUGGAUUAGUGGCGAACGGGUGAGUAACACGUGAGUAAUCUGCCCUUGACUCUGGGAUAACUGCGGGAAACUGUAGCUAAUACCGGAUACGACACCUUCGGGCAUCCGAUGGGUGUGGAAAGAAUUUCGGUCAAGGAUGAACUCGCGGCCUAUCAGCUAGUUGGUGAGGUAAUGGCUCACCAAGGCGACGACGGGUAGCCGGCCUGAGAGGGUGACCGGCCACACGGGGACUGAGACACGGCCCAGACUCCUACGGGAGGCAGCAGUGCGGAAUAUUGCACAAUGGGCGAAAGCCUGAUGCAGCAACGCCGCGGGAGGGAUGAAGGCCUUCGGGUUGUAAACCUCUUUUAGUUGGGAAGAAGCGAAAGUGACGGUACCAACAGAAAAAGCACCGGCUAACUACGUGCCAGCCGCCGCCGUAA